AGAAAAAGUGCAAGUUAGCUCAAAAUGGAAACUUGAGCGUUUUUGGCCAAAAUUGCCAAAAUACAUUAUUGGAAAGUGAUAUUUUAAGGUAUGAGACUAAUGUUAUUUAUUUGGAAAAUAAAUAAUACGGAAUUUAUCGAGAAUCGAAUGAUUAAAGGAUUAGUGGACUAAAUUGGACGAAGGAAAAGUUAUGGAUUAAGAAAUGAGGAGGUGGCAACUUUAAGGGCUUAAGUAAACUUUAGCCAACAACUUAUAGGCUAAGUCAAGGAAUUAAUGUCCCAUGUUCAGCUCAUUCUCUCAAAAUUAAAAAGAAAUAGAAAGAAAGAAAGAAAAAGAUGGAGAAGAUGAGAGAAAGGGGAAAAUGGAGCAUUCAACUUCAAAUCGAGCUACGGAGCUCGUUUCUCGACCAAAUUUGAUGAUUUCGGUGGCUAUGGAUUCGGGAUUCAAGCCUUUACUCAAGGAGAUCAUGGUGUAUGAUGAUUAAGAGCUAUGAUUAUGGAAUUUUGAUGGUUGUUCAUGGAGGAAUUCAUUCAGCCAAAGGGUUAUACCAUCAAACAAAGAUUCGACGAGGCGACUAUCGACGGAGUUCAAAGUUCUUGAAUCGAGAUUAACGCUUUGCUUGAUUAGAGUAAAUGGAUAGCAAGUGGGAUAGCAUGAUAUGAUUUGAAAAGUCAAGCUUCCGAAGUUUUAAUUCUCGGAAGUCAUUUGCACAAGAAGUGAAAGAAGGUUUUCAUUCUAGCGGUCCGCAGUAGUCUAGAUGUUUUUGUCUAUGUAUUUGUACAAUGCGUUUUAACUCUGAUGUUUUUUGUAAAAUUGGGUCACAUGUAUUUUGAUAUAUAAAAUAUGAUAUGAUUUGCGAAAAAUUUAUACAGGUUUUUAGGCUUGCUACGGGUUUCGGAGCUACCACUCCCAUUCCCUAGCGCCGGUCGCGACUCAUAAA
Molecule: long non-coding RNA, 940 nt
Organism: Mercurialis annua (annual mercury)
Lineage: Eukaryota; Viridiplantae; Streptophyta; Magnoliopsida; Malpighiales; Euphorbiaceae
Exons: 4
Source: RefSeq, a predicted model, not a curated record